Molecule: long non-coding RNA, 237 nt
Filed under: Ananas comosus (pineapple)
Lineage: Eukaryota; Viridiplantae; Streptophyta; Magnoliopsida; Poales; Bromeliaceae
Description: long non-coding RNA (ACOM_LNC034023)
Source: RNAcentral
AAGGUCACCGCCUUAAUGAAGAUCGUAAACCAUUCACCGUCUUUAUUACUUAUAUUACGAAGACGGUGAGUCGUUCACCGCUUCAGCCUAGAGAUGCCAACAGGUCGGAUUCAGGGCGGAUUUUUAAAAAUCCGAACCCGAACCCGACUCCAAACCCGAGACCCAAACCCGAACCCAAACCCGAACCCGACGGAUUUUAAAAAUCCAUAUCCAAACUCGAACCCGACCAAAAAUCCG